This 254-nucleotide ribosomal RNA is filed under the name uncultured bacterium. Its description in RNAcentral is "partial 16S ribosomal RNA". It matches the Rfam family "Bacterial small subunit ribosomal RNA", at positions 524 to 776 of the family's 1533-position model. The record is from RNAcentral.
UACGUAGGGAGCAAGCGUUUGUUCGGAUUUACUGGGCGUAAAGGGCUCGUAGGCGGCCAACUAAGUCAUACGUGAAAUCCCUCGGCUUAACCGGGGAACUGCGUCUGAUACUGGAUGGCUUGAGUUCGGGAGAGGGAUGCGGAAUUCCAGGUGUAGCGGUGAAAUGCGUAGAUAUCUGGAGGAACACCGGUGGCGAAGGCGGCUCUCUGGACCGAUACUGACGCUGAGGCGCGAAAGCGUGGGGAGCAAACAGG